RNAcentral lists this non-coding RNA (31 nucleotides) under Homo sapiens (human). The record is from RNAcentral. Lineage: Eukaryota; Metazoa; Chordata; Mammalia; Primates; Hominidae.
GAGAAAAGCGUCCUUUGGGCAGAACCCACUC